CUCAAAUCAGGUAGGACUACCCGCUGAACUUAAGCAUA
Molecule: ribosomal RNA, 38 nt
Filed under: Papiliotrema laurentii
Lineage: Eukaryota; Fungi; Basidiomycota; Tremellomycetes; Tremellales; Rhynchogastremaceae
Description: partial 28S ribosomal RNA
Source: RNAcentral